This 253-nucleotide ribosomal RNA is filed under the name uncultured bacterium. RNAcentral describes it as "partial 16S ribosomal RNA". It matches the Rfam family "Bacterial small subunit ribosomal RNA", at positions 524 to 776 of the family's 1533-position model. The record is from RNAcentral.
UACGAAGGGGGCUAGCGUUGCUCGGAUUGACUGGGCGUAAAGCGCGUGUAGGUGGAUUGGUGUGUCAGAUGUGAAAUCCCUGGGCUCAACCCAGGAACUGCACCUGAAACUACCAGUCUUGAGUGGUGGAGAGGGAAGUGGAAUUCCUGGUGUAGAGGUGAAAUUCGUAGAUAUCAGGAGGAACACCAGUGGCGAAGGCGGCUUCCUGGACACCAACUGACGCUGAGACGCGAAAGCGUGGGGAGCAAACAGG